GUCCUGGCCCUAAACGAUGUCCACUAGAUCGCAGCAGCUCUGACGUUGUUGCGGUCGAAGCAAAAGUGCUAAGUGGACCGCCUGGGAAGUACGGUCGCAAGGCUAAAACUCAAAGGAAUUGACGGGGGCUCACACAAGCGGUGGAGCAUGUGGUUCAAUUCGAAGCAACGCGCAGAACCUUACCUGGGCUUGACAUGCCUGGAUUAUCCCUAUGAAAGUAGGGUAGGCCCUUCGGGGUACAACUGGCACAGGUGCUGCAUGGCUGUCGU
Molecule: ribosomal RNA, 269 nt
Filed under: uncultured bacterium
Lineage: Bacteria
Description: partial 16S ribosomal RNA
Rfam family: Bacterial small subunit ribosomal RNA
Source: RNAcentral